GGGGAAUUUUGGACAAUGGGCGCAAGCCUGAUCCAGCCAUGCCGCGUGCGGGAAGAAGGCCUUCGGGUUGUAAACCGCUUUUGUCAGGGAAGAAAAGCUUUGAGUUAACACCUCAAAGUAAUGACGGUACCUGAAGAAUAAGCACCGGCUAACUACGUGCCAGCAGCCGCGGUAAUACGUAGGGUGCAAGCGUUAAUCGGAAUUACUGGGCGUAAAGCGUGCGUAGGCGGCUCUGUAAGACAGAUGUGAAAUCCCUGGGCUUAACCUAGGAACUGCAUUUGUGACUGCAUAGCUAGAGUGUGGUAGAGGGAGAUGGAAUUCCGCAUGUAGCAGUGAAAUGCGUAGAUAUGCGGAGGAACACCAAUGGCGAAGGCAAUCUCCUGGACCUGCACUGACGCUCAUGCACGAAAGCGUGGGGAGCAAA
RNAcentral lists this ribosomal RNA (424 nucleotides) under uncultured bacterium. RNAcentral's name for it is "bacterial SSU rRNA". It matches the Rfam family "Bacterial small subunit ribosomal RNA", at positions 356 to 772 of the family's 1533-position model. The record is from RNAcentral.